This 159-nucleotide ribosomal RNA is filed under the name Escherichia coli. RNAcentral's name for it is "partial 16S ribosomal RNA". It matches the Rfam family "Bacterial small subunit ribosomal RNA", at positions 1 to 153 of the family's 1533-position model. Lineage: Bacteria; Pseudomonadati; Pseudomonadota; Gammaproteobacteria; Enterobacterales; Enterobacteriaceae. The record is from RNAcentral.
AAAUUGAAGAGUUUGAUCAUGGCUCAGAUUGAACGCUGGCGGCAGGCCUAACACAUGCAAGUCGAACGGUAACAGGAAGCAGCUUGCUGCUUUGCUGACGAGUGGCGGACGGGUGAGUAAUGUCUGGGAAACUGCCUGGUGGAGGGGGAUAACUACUGG